RNAcentral lists this transfer-messenger RNA (400 nucleotides) under bacterium. It matches the Rfam family "transfer-messenger RNA". From Rfam's summary of the family: Bacterial tmRNA, also known as 10Sa RNA or SsrA, is named for its dual tRNA and mRNA-like properties. Its role is to liberate the mRNA from a stalled ribosome. The record is from RNAcentral.
GGGGAUGAUCGGCCUAGACAAUAAGCCGCUCUCUCGUUUACUCAAACCGGCUACUCCUGCUCGCCCGUUAUCGUGUGCAGGAAAAAAGAAUAAGUGCAAACUUAUCUUCUAAAGUAAAGGGUAUGGUUUCACCAUAUUUCUCCUUUGCUCCGGAAUUCGCUUUAGCGUAAAUUCGGCAUUGAUAUAUUCUGAAUCCUGUUAGGAAAAUAUCAGUGUAAUAAACUUCAGGAUAGAAAAGAGGAGCGUUUUGGCCUCUUUUCAAAAUAAAGGAAACUCGACUUGAAAAGAUUUUGUCUGUUUUCAACUUUCCAAGUUUAAACCAAAAAUAAACAAACUAUGUUUGUACAAAGUACCGAGAGUUCCUUUUUGCACGGGGGUUCGAUUCCCCCCAUCUCCACAU